RNAcentral lists this unclassified non-coding RNA (302 nucleotides) under Pleosporales sp. Its description in RNAcentral is "partial contains 5.8S ribosomal RNA, internal transcribed spacer 2, and large subunit ribosomal RNA". The stretch from base 1 to 71 matches the Rfam family "5.8S ribosomal RNA", at positions 84 to 154 of the family's 154-position model. Lineage: Eukaryota; Fungi; Ascomycota; Dothideomycetes; Pleosporales. The record is from RNAcentral.
GUGAAUCAUCGAAUCUUUGAACGCACAUUGCGCCCCUUGGUAUUCCAUGGGGCAUGCCUGUUCGAGCGUCAUUUACAACCUCAAGCCCUGCUUGGUGUUGGGCGUCUGUCCUCUAGCGACUACCGCGUGGACUCGCCUCAAAGGCAUUGGCAGCGGUCCUGCCGGGCCUCCUAAUCGCGCAGCACUGUUCGCGCUUCCUGGAGCCCGCGCGGAUUCGGCGUCCAUCAAGCCCAAUCUUCUGAACUUGACCUCGGAUCAGGUAGGGAUACCCGCUGAACUUAAGCAUAUCAAUAAGCGGAGGA